RNAcentral lists this long non-coding RNA (203 nucleotides) under Pan troglodytes (chimpanzee). RNAcentral describes it as "long non-coding RNA NONPTRT013437". The record is from RNAcentral. Lineage: Eukaryota; Metazoa; Chordata; Mammalia; Primates; Hominidae.
UUAUUACAAGAGAAGGCUACAUAAAAAGUAAAUUUCGUGGGCAUUAACUUUGACCAUGACCAUAUGAGCUGCUUUUCAACUAAUCUAAAUAAAAAUACUUUUAUUUUCACGAAAAUAAGAUUGACUAUUGUAAUUUUGUUCAUUCUUUUGCCUUCCAUUCUUUAGUUAUAUCAGUUGGAGUCCUGGAUACUUAUUGUGUGGAU